RNAcentral lists this long non-coding RNA (749 nucleotides) under Mus musculus (house mouse). Its description in RNAcentral is "predicted gene 20467". The record is from RNAcentral. Lineage: Eukaryota; Metazoa; Chordata; Mammalia; Rodentia; Muridae.
ACACACACACCUGCUGGCUGCAGCCAGCGCCGAUGCGUCAGGCUUUGGGAUGGGACUCAGGGAAGAUCUUCAGCCAAGUUUAAUUCCUGCAAAACAGAGCUUCUCCGUAUCAGCAUGCAAGAUUUCAAAGACACUGAUAUCAGCGGCUGGCUGUUCUGGCCAUACCAACUCUGAUGUUGUGCUUCAUGUCCCACGCUGCUCCUGCGGAUGUGGAUCUCCAGAGAGAUGACCUUUCACCUCCCCCAUCUCAGGCUGAAUGCCUUGUUGGAUCCCAGCAGAAGCAUCACUGACUGCCGAAUUUACUCAGAACAGUGUAUGAGAAGGCCGGAAGAUUUGCCUGAUUGGCAGAAAGAAUUCCAGGCAAAUCUUUCAGGUUGGAAAGAGGCGACAGCUCCUCUCCGAGGUAUUUCUAAAACAAAGCAGAGCCACCGUGCUGCUUGGGGGUUAAUAUCCCCCCUACUCUGCCCCCCAACUUGCUGCCAGAGAUCAGCUAAUCUGAUAAUUACGACAACAAACACAGUUUAGACAAACAAGACCUGACCCUGAGGGUUUGGAAUGAAAACAUUUACUCUCUCUCUCUCUCUCUCCAGAGAGACAGUGCCUGGAGCUCUCACACACGGAGGCACUGGGGAAAUUACCCUUGUGUUGGAGCGGGGUUAAAGCAUCUGUGUGAGGUGGGAGGGGCCAUGAUGGAGAGGUCCGGAGCACUUCGGGAGCAGAUGGAAAAUAUAUCAAUCUGGACACGGGAA